Long non-coding RNA from Lycium barbarum (goji berry), 3008 nucleotides. RefSeq lists it as uncharacterized. The transcript is spliced from 2 exons. The record is from RefSeq and is a predicted model, not a curated record. NCBI's taxonomy places the organism in Eukaryota, Viridiplantae, Streptophyta, Magnoliopsida, Solanales, Solanaceae.
UUGAUAUGGUCCAUGAAGUAAAACUCUAAGUUCAUUUUACUCGUAUAAGGCGAAUUAUAAUAAUAGACUGACGAUUCGUCGUGCAAAAUUUUUCUACUAUAUAGAAGCACGGGAGCGGUAGGCAGGAUCACAUGCCUCAAGGGUAUUUUGGCCCUUUCAUGUUUUGUUUAUUCAAUGUGGCUCUAAUCCUAUAGCCAGCGCAUACAUAAUCAUAAAUUCAGCCACCGCAUCAGCUGCUAUCUAGAAUUUUCUCUCAGCCAUUGUCUUGUACUUCUCUCUUUUGUUGUUCUUCCCUUUCAAUCUUAGUUUGGUUGUGUUCUUCCACUCAAUUUUUCUGUUUCAUUUUAUUGUUUUAGUCUAAUUUGGUUUCUAUCUGUCAACUUGUAUUUUUUUUUUUAGAGAUAUGGUAAUAACAAUAUGCAGAUGCCGAAAGCAAGGGCGGUGGAGUCAUGGAUGAUGGUGAAAGGAUAUACUCAAUAAGUUGCCGCCAACAGGUAAUGUUUUGUACUCCAUACGUAGAACUGUGUAGCAGGCUACUUCGAUUCUGUUUAAUCUACGGUCUUUGAUUAUUUUUGGGUUCUGGUGAGUAUUUGCCCCUUCCUUAUUUUGUUCUUGAUAAGGAAUUUAAUGGAUGUGUUAGCAAGAGUUGUUCAAUCUGAUAGGUGCAAUGAACUCAUUCGUGAUAUGUUUGUUAGAUUGCGUAUGAUGGUAUUUUCAUCUUCGAGAAUGCUUGCUCAUCUUUUUGACAGCUCAUUGGUAGAGGAAAUAACAGAGAACUGCUAAAACAUAUUCUAAUAAUUCAUAUCUUUAAUAGAGGAAAUGUGUAAUUUUCUGGACAAUUAUUGUAUAUAGUAAAGUGAUAACUAUAUUCAUGCCACCUCUCCAUCAUAUAGUUGUUUGUUAUAAACUUCCAAAGCAGAGUUGUACCAUUGUAUGAAAGAGGUGAAACCAGAAAUUAACAUGUCAACAAAUUGCCAUUUAUGCUUAGAAGAAGGAGGCAUAUCUUAUAACAUCAGUAAAGCAUUUUCUUUUUGUAGUUAUGGUGAAGAAUACUUUGGCAAUAUUAUUACAAGGUUAAGCUUGAGUUUGUCUAAAGAGUUUUGUAUAGUAUGCCCUCAGUUGCUUUUCGCUAAUGCAGGUUGGAGGUUGCUCAUUUAGUCAUAUUAUUCGAUGUACAGACUUUUUCUUUUCAGCUCACAACUUUUCUAUAUAGAGUAUUUGUUGAUGUCACUCAUGAGAUGAAUAACGAAGAUGGAAUAAUACAACCUUUCAUCUCUCUGUUCUGAGGGAUAGAUGUGUGGUAAUCCAUUUGACAACUUAUCAGUUCUCUCAAAGUUAUUAUAAUGCUGGUAAAUGUAAUAGCUCUAAGAGAAGUUCUUCCACCUAACUGUGUUGUAUUAGGAUCACUGGGAUCUGACACAACCAAAUCAAAGUCAAAACUUUAGAGUCUCGCACUGAUUUGAUACUCUUCAGGUUAAUUAUUCUUCAUCCUUUUAGCAACAUCUUCUGAAACAUGCUUUCCUUUUUCUCCCCGUUAAAUCAUUUUAAAUUUAGGAUUUCAUGGUUUCUGAGUUUGAAAUUAGUCCUCAAAGGGAUUUCUGGGAGAAAAUCCUCAAACUGCAAACUGUGAGCGUUCUUGGAGUUUCAGACGGCGGAACGGGAAUAUACUGAGGUAUAACCCCUUCUACUUCUCUCUUUUGUAUAAAGGAUUUCGGUAUUUUUGGUUCCACCAUUUUAAUUUAUUGUUAAGUCGAAGGCCGAUUAUCUUGUAAUUUAGAAAUAUAACCUCCUUGAAAUUUUUAUUUUGUUUCUGAGGUCGGUAUGACACGUGGAAAUUUUACAAUGCUAAUCAAAAUUUUUUGAGGUAUAACUCCUUUGAAAUUUGCCUACGUGUACUCUUUUUUCCUCUUAUUCUCUGACUUUGUUCUUUUUCUUCUUUUAGGGGUUGUAUGGUAGCUGGUUAGAGUUAUGCAGGUAUUAGUAAUAUCGAAAUUAGUUAAGAGGGAAUCUAUACAGAUCAUAGUAGGAAACGACUGUAUCUGGGAUCAGUUUUAAUUUUAGUAAAAAACGUAAAAAAACUAGAAAAGGCCUAUUUUGUUCAGGAAAACUAGCGACUCACCGUAUCCUUCUUGAUGCUCAUCUAUGAUACAAUUUUUUGCACUUACAUUUAUUAUCCGAUUUUGCAUUACUUGCUUUAGCAGUUUGAUACUCAAAAAAAAAAAAAAAGGGAGAGAAUGUUAAGCUGCUCAAUCAGCUAUCUGUUCAGAUAUCAACCUUUUGAGUUUUUGCGUAAACUGAAUUUCAUGGCUGUUGAAGGAAAUUUCAAUUGGUGUUAAAACUUACAAGUUCAGGUAUACUCCUCUUAAAUUUUUGCCUGAAUCUUCUGUUUCUUUUUCCCUAUCAUCUUCUGUUCUUUUUUUUUUUUUUUUUUUGCUUUUCAAUUUCUGUUCAGGUUUUUCAUUUUUGUGGCUGAAUAUCAUGGCUUUUGAAGGAAAGACUAAACUUUUAGGUGAAACUGAUUAUUGUUGUAAUCCUAUCUGACAUAUGAAGAAACAAAAGGGGUUAUCAAGAUGUUUUAGAGAGUAUUUUCAGAUAUAAUUCUGAGUUUUUGUUGUGGAUCAGUAUUUAAAAUCUCCUUAUGAUUUGUGAUUCAGUUUAGCUCAUAAUUAUUGUGUGUGUUUUUUCUUUCAUUUCCUCCAUAGCUCUUCAUCUCUGGAGAAGCUGGAAUUAAGCAAUACAUAACUUUGCGGGAGGAAAGUACUUGACUAUGUUGAAGUUUCAACUUUGGGCAAGUGUCAAGCUGGAGUAGAGAUAUCAACACGGACGCAGAGUGAGGCUAGCAACGAAUACCAACUCUUUGGAGCUUGUCUUAAGUGCUGGAUUGGAGAUUGAUGCAUUUAGUAAUUGUAUUGCUUAGUCAUCUUUGAAGACCAAAACAAUUCAAUGACUCGCCAUGAUUUUAAUGAAUUAUUUGGUUACGUAGAAUCAAUAUAUUUAAUGAUUCAUUA